Molecule: ribosomal RNA, 432 nt
Filed under: uncultured bacterium
Lineage: Bacteria
Description: partial 16S ribosomal RNA
Rfam family: Bacterial small subunit ribosomal RNA
Source: RNAcentral
AACGAACGCUGCCGCCUUCCUAAAACAUGCAAGGCCAACCGAACCUUCCGGGCUAGGGGCGCACGGGGUCGUUACGCGGGGGGAACUUCCCCUAGGGUCGGGAUAACCCCCCGGAAGGGGGGCCAAUAACGGGUAAUGGCUUCGGGCCAAAGAUUUAUCGCCUUUGGAUGGGCCCGCGUUGGAUUAGCUAGUUGGUAGGGUAAAAGCCUACCAAGGCGACGAUCCAUAGCUGGUCUGAGAGGAUGAUCAGCCACACUGGGACUGAGACACGGCCCAGACUCCUACGGGAGGCAGCAGUGGGGAAUAUUGGACAAUGGGCGAAAGCCUGAUCCAGCAAUGCCGCGUGAGUGAUGAAGGCCUUAGGGUUGUAAAGCUCUUUUACCCGGGAUGAUAAUGACAGUACCGGGAGAAUAAGCUCCGGCUAACUCCGUG